UACGUAGGUGGCAAGCGUUGUCCGGAAUUAUUGGGCGUAAAGGGCACGCAGGCGGUUCUCUAAGUCUGAUGUGAAAUCUCGCGGCUCAACCGCGAGCGGUCAUUGGAAACUGGAGAACUGGAGUGCAGGAGAGGAGAGCGGAAUUCCACGUGUAGCGGUGAAAUGCGUAGAGAUGUGGAGGAACACCAGUGGCGAAGGCGGCUCUCUGGCCUGAAACUGACGCUGAGGUGCGAAAGCGUGGGGAGCGAACAGG
RNAcentral lists this ribosomal RNA (253 nucleotides) under uncultured bacterium. RNAcentral describes it as "partial 16S ribosomal RNA". It matches the Rfam family "Bacterial small subunit ribosomal RNA", at positions 524 to 776 of the family's 1533-position model. The record is from RNAcentral.